GAUGAACGCUGGCGGCGUGCCUAAUACAUGCAAGUCGAGCGAACAGACGAGGAGCUUGCUCCUCUGACGUUAGCGGCGGACGGGUGAGUAACACGUGGAUAACCUACCUAUAAGACUGGGAUAACUUCGGGAAACCGGAGCUAAUACCGGAUAAUAUAUUGAACCGCAUGGUUCAAUAGUGAAAGACGGUUUUGCUGUCACUUAUAGAUGGAUCCGCGCCGCAUUAGCUAGUUGGUAAGGUAACGGCUUACCAAGGCGACGAUGCGUAGCCGACCUGAGAGGGGGAUCGGCCACACGGGAACUUAGACACGGGCCAGACUCCUACGGGAGGCAGCAGUAGGGAAUCUUCCGCAAUGGGCGAAAGCCUGACGGAGCAACGCCGCGUGAGUGAUGAAGGUCUUCGGAUCGUAAAACUCUGUUAUUAGGGAAGAACAAAUGUGUAAGUAACUAUGCACGUCUUGACGGUACCUAAUCAGAAAGCCACGGCUAACUACGUG
RNAcentral lists this ribosomal RNA (497 nucleotides) under uncultured bacterium. RNAcentral's name for it is "partial 16S ribosomal RNA". It matches the Rfam family "Bacterial small subunit ribosomal RNA", at positions 28 to 507 of the family's 1533-position model. The record is from RNAcentral.